UCAAGCUACUAAGGGUGCACGGGGGAUGCCUAGGCGCCAAGAGACGACAAAGGACGUGGCAAGCUGCGAUAAGCCUCGGGGAGCCGCAACCAGGCGUUGAUCCGGGGAUUUCCGAUGGGACAACCUGCUGCGGGUCAUGCUGCAGCAUCCCCGCCUGAAUUCAAUAGGGCGGGUAGAGGGCAAAUGGGGUGAAGUAACACAUUCUAGUAGCCCCGAGAAAGAAAAACAAAAGUGACUUCCUGAGUAGCGGCGAGCGAAAGGGAACCAGCCUAAACCGAUUGCAUGUCAAGUCCGUGUGCGUUGUGCAAUCGGGGUCGCGGGAGCCUCUUGGAGCGGAUACGGACGCUCCAGGGAGUUACAAAACAUCCAUCUAGCCGAACGACCUGGAACGGUCGACCAUAGACGGUGACAGUCCGGUAGGCGAAAGGUGAGAUGUCUCCUUGAGGAUUUCCCAAGUAAUGCCGGACACGCGGAACCCGGCAUGAAUCCGGGGGGACCACCCCCUAAGGCUAAGUACUACUUGGCGACCGAUAGCGAAACAGUAGCGCGAGCGAAAGGUGAAAAGAACCCCUGCAAGGGAAGUGAAAAGUUCCUGAAACCGUGCACUUACACAGCGGUCGGAGGGCUAUGCCGGGGGCGCAAGCGCCCGGAAUGCCUGACGGCGUGCCUAUCGGUUAAUGACCCUGCGAGUCAGUCUGUACAGCUUGGUUAAGCCCCUCUGGGGCGGAGCCAUAGUGAAAGCGAGCGUUAAAAGCGCGACACUGUUGUGCGGACUGGACGCGAAGCCGCGGCGAUCUAACCAUGGCCAGGUCGAAGUGGGUGUAGCAACUCAUGGAGGACCGAACUCUUCUCCGUUGAAAAGGGGUGAGAUGAGCUGUGGUUAGGAGUGAAAGGCUAAUCAAGCCCGGUGAUAUCUCGUUCUCCCCGAAAUAACUUUAGGGUUAGCCUCGAGCCAAUGGACGAUGGGGGUAGAGUUACCGGAUGGAUUUUGAGGGGCUUACCGGCUCGCUCAGUCCAACCAAACUCCGAAUACCAUCGCACCUUAACUCGGGAGUCGGUCCGUGGGGGCUAAGCUUCACGGGCGAGAGGGAAACAGCCCAGACCGCCAGCUAAGGUCCCGAAGACGAUCUAAGUUCGCAAGGAAGUGGAGACGCUAAGACAGCCAGGAUGUUGGCUUAGAAGCAGCCACCAUUUAAAAAGUGCGUAACAGCUUACUGGCCGAGCGUUUCUGCGCCGAAAAUUAACGGGAAUCAAGAUCGUCGCCGAAGCUGCGGGAGGCAGGGGACUGCGCGUCCUCUGUCUCGGUAGGGGAGCGUUCCACGCGAGGAUGAAGGGAGACCGUGAGGACUCUUGGACGACGUGGAAGUGAUGAUGCAGGGACGAGUAGCGAUAAUGGGUAGUGAGAAUCACCCACACCGUAAGCCCAAGGUUUCCUGGGGCAGGUAAGUCCGCCCAGGGUUAGUCGGGACCUAAGGCGAGGCCGAAAGGCGUAGCUGAUGGACAACGGGUUAAUAUUCCCGUACCGCGGGCUGGGCGAUCAAGACGCUGAAGGGGCGUGGGGAAGGCUAAUGCUGGUGGAGCGGCUGGAGUUCCGCCCAUCGAAUCCGUAGGGGGAUCCGCCAGGCAAAUCCGGUGGGUCAUCAACCCUGAGGGAGGAAGUAGGGGUCUAACCGACCCUAUGCAGCUGAUGCCCGGCCUCCGAGAAAAACCUCGUCAGCGAGUCCAGAACGCGCCCGUACCAAAACCAACACACGUGGGCGGGGUGAGAAUCCUAAGGUGCUCGGAUGAGCCCCCGUUAAGGAACUCGGCAACUUAGCUCCGUAACUUCGGGAGAAGGAGCGCCCGAACCGGUUAGUCUCCUCGCGGGACGAAGCCGGAGCGGGCCGCAGUGAAAGGGGUCAGGCGACUGCUUACCAAAAGCACAGGACUGUGCGAAGCCUUUAGGGCGACGUAUACAGUCUGACGCCUGCUCGGUGCUGGAAGGUUAAGGCAAGGGGUCAGGAGGGGCAACCCUCCGAAGCUCUGAACCGAAGCCCCAGUUAACGGCGGCCGUAACUAUGACGGUCCUAAGGUAGCGAAGUUCCUUGUCAGGUAAGUUCUGACGCGCAUGAAUGGCGUAACGACUUGACCGGUGUCUCAACGGGGAGUCCGGCGAAACUGUAGCAGUGGUGAAGAUGCCACUUACCCGCGGCAAGACGGAAAGACCCCGUGGACCUUUACUGUACUCUAAUAUUGGGUCCCUGUGCGGGUUGUGUAGGAUAGGUGGGAGCCGAUGAGGUCCGGGCGCCAGCUCGGGCGGAGGCGCCGUUGAAAUACCACCCUUCUCGUACGGUGAUUCUAACCGGAAUUCCUGUGAAGCCAGGGCCGGGACAGUGUUAGACGGGCAGUUUAACUGGGGCGGUUUCCUCCUAAAAGGUAACGGAGGAGUUCAAAGGUUCCCUCAGCGCGGUUGGCAAUCGCGCGUCGAGUGCAAGGGCACAAGGGAGCUUGACUGCGAGUCCGAUGGGACAAGCAGAUGCGAAAGCAGGACCUAGUGAUCCGGCGGUUCUGAGUGGAAGGGCCGUCGCUCAACAGAUAAAAGGUACCCCGGGGAUAACAGGCUGAUCUCCCCCAAGAGUUCACAUCGAC
Molecule: ribosomal RNA, 2628 nt
Filed under: anaerobic digester metagenome
Description: bacterial LSU rRNA
Rfam family: Bacterial large subunit ribosomal RNA
Source: RNAcentral